Molecule: transfer RNA, 75 nt
Filed under: candidate division Zixibacteria bacterium RBG-1
Lineage: Bacteria; Pseudomonadati; Candidatus Zixiibacteriota
Also listed under: 2 other names
Rfam family: tRNA
About the family: Transfer RNA (tRNA) molecules are approximately 80 nucleotides in length. Their secondary structure includes four short double-helical elements and three loops (D, anti-codon, and T loops).
Source: Rfam by way of RNAcentral
GGGCGGUUAGCUCAGCUGGUUUAGAGCGUCUGCCUUACACGCAGAAGGCCAUAGGUUCGAAUCCUAUACCGCCCA